UUUAAAAUAUGACGAGUGCAGAUAGCCUUAGCCAGGCUACAGCAAGCCAAAUCAACCUCUUGGCCUAGCUCCAUGGAAACGCGAGAUUCGGCCGUCUCCAGUUAGCCAGGCUUGUUCAAGAUGAAGAUGCUCCAACGACUUGUCUCACGUCACCUCUCGUGUGUCUACCACUCUACCUCUUUCUUCCUCCUUGUUCCUCGACAGCAACGGCAAACCUCGAUUCUUCCCCUUCGUUCCCCGACAGCAGCUCUGCACGCGGCGGCGGAGGUCCAGCUCCCGCACGCGGCGCCCGAGCUCAGACCCCCGCUCGCGGCGGGGGAGUACUCGGCUGCGACGGUGGAGCACCCGCACGAACACUGCGCCGAAGCUCGGCGCUCUCGCCCGCACGGCCGGAUGCGCUCCAUGCAGUCGGCGUCGCUCCCCACUCCACCCUCCCACAUGGCAGGCUCGCCUAGUGGAUGCGCUCCCCACGGCCGGCGGCGGAGCUCGCCCACGCGCACGGCCACGGUCAUAGCUCGCCCCAUGUGCGCGGCCUCGGCGGAGCUCACCCUCGCGCGAGGGGUGAGCAGGGCCCAGUACGGCCGGUGGCAGAGCUCUCCCGCGAACGUGGCCAGUAGCGUUCCUCCGUGCGCGUGGCCUCCUCUCCCCACCAAUCUACUGCCUCCUCUCUUCCGUAUCCAGCUGCUAAAAUUGAUCCUAGAAAUCGAUUACAUCGAAGAUUGGAGACUGGGUUGUCGAGGAAACUUGCCGGUGAGCAGGUAAACACGGUCGAGCUCGCCCUUGAAUCACGCGUUCUUCAUGUGCAGUAGCUGCUCCCUAGUGACACCUCCCUGAGCACGGAAGCUCCGCCAAAUUGACGCAGGUGAAUAUUCUUCUUGCUUGUUUUAGUUCACAAGGCCACAAACCAUGAGGUAGUAGCUAUAGUCAUCAUUAUUACCUCGGUUUAAUCAAAGGAGUACUCGCCUCAAACGCACCACUUGUAGCCAUUAGUUUAAGAUUAGCUUGCUGCUUUUCCGAAUGGAGAUUCAGUGCAUCUAGCACCGUCGCGGAGGGAGAUGAAGCGGUAACUUCACCUUCAACCAAGUACAAGAUAAUCCUACCAGCGUAUACAUCCAACCAAACAGGAGUUGGCCAAUGCAGGCUAUCGCAGGCCACCCAAACCAAACAGAACCACUAGUAUUGAUUUCGUCUGGACAAAGCUGGCCUGGUUUAAGAUCCUAGCCAGGCUACAACUAGCUACGAAACCAAACAGACCCUAUAUAAUCAGUAGAGGACCUCUGUUGCAUAUAAAAAGUGCCCAGUCAAAUAAAAAUAUCAAUAUAAUAGCAAGUAGUGUAUCAAUUUGCAUUGCUCAAGAACCAAAUAUCAAUACCUCUCAUCACCGUGAUAUUCAUCAUCUGUUUCCUAAAGAGAGCUCCCCUCUCCUUGCACGCUGCGCAGUGCCUCCACACGUGGCAGCUGGCCUUCGAUAAUUUUACAAAAAAAAAACCUUUUAAACUUCUUGAAAUCAGCUUGCAGUCCUCUUCCGUUCUGGCUCCAUGCGCCCCUGCCUUCAGCCUCCCUCCCAUGAAGAGCAGAAUGCCCUCUGUGACCCUGCAUGACUACUGUGCCAUAAUGCUCCGUCGGGCUUAGCAGUGGAGGCAAAAACGGAUAUGAGGUUCUGUAUGGAGGUUUGAUUCUGUGAUUAGGCAUGGGGAGGGCAGACAAUGACAGGUCGGUGCGCUGGUGAGCGAGGAGACGAUUGAUUGGGUUUAGGAUUCAUGAUUUGUUUCAAAAAUCUCUGAACUGUUUGUAUGUGUUGUCAAGAAUUUGUCUAUAGCUCGUUUCGAGCAUGUUUUAGGUCUCUGAGUUUAAGUGGUCUUAAAUGUUUUCUGUGACAUAUAAAACUUGUUUCUAUCACUUCAAACAGCAAAAAAUUUCGAUCUUGUGUGCCUUA
Long non-coding RNA from Panicum virgatum (switchgrass), 1936 nucleotides. RefSeq lists it as uncharacterized. Lineage: Eukaryota; Viridiplantae; Streptophyta; Magnoliopsida; Poales; Poaceae. The record is from RefSeq and is a predicted model, not a curated record. The transcript is spliced from 2 exons.